Microtus oregoni (creeping vole) is the source of this 418-nucleotide long non-coding RNA. RefSeq lists it as uncharacterized. The record is from RefSeq and is a predicted model, not a curated record. Lineage: Eukaryota; Metazoa; Chordata; Mammalia; Rodentia; Cricetidae. The transcript has 3 exons.
CACGAUGCCAUCCUUGAGCAGGUGGUCCUGCGGUGUGUAAGAAAGCAGACUGAGCAAGCAGAGAGAGCAGAAAACAUAAAAGAAGACAUGAUACUAUCACCAGAUUUUUAUGAUGUCAAAGUUUCUCUGUGUUGACCUGCCUGGCCUGGAACUCCCUCUGUAGACCAGGCUACCUUUGAACUCACAGAGAUCUGCCUGUCUCUGCCUCCGCAUGCUGGGACUGAAAGUCUCCUGGUACUAAAAGAUGUUCCAGAAGCCUCUGGAUAUUGACUACGCAGCUCAAAAUCAGCCAUGCCCCAAGGAGAAGGGCAGAACGGAAACUGCACCGGUUAGUUGUUACUGCCAAGCUGACACAGUGUAGUGUUACCUGACAAGGUAUCUUAGAAAAGGCAUUGGCCGGCUCAGACAGGCCUUUGGC